AGCGAACGCUGGCGGCGUACUUAACACAUGCAAGUCGAACGAGGAGCUUCGGUGUAGCAAUACAUCGGAGCUUCUAGUGGCGUACGGGUGAGUAACACGUGGGCAACCUGCCCUUGAGUCCGGGAUACCCUCUCGAAAGGGAGGCUAAUACUGGAUACGUUCUUCGGAUCGCAAGGUCUGGAGAGGAAAGGUAGCGAAAGCUGCCGCUCUUGGAGGGGCUCGCGGCCAUCAGCUAGUUGGUGAGGUCACGGCUCACCAAGGCUAUGACGGGUAGCUGGUCUGAGAGGACGACCAGCCACACGGGAACUGAGACACGGUCCCGACUCCUACGGGAGGCAGCAGUGGGAAUUUCCCGCAAUGGGACGAAAGCCUGACGGAGUGACGCCGCGUGGGGGAUGAAGG
Molecule: ribosomal RNA, 402 nt
Filed under: uncultured bacterium
Lineage: Bacteria
Description: bacterial SSU rRNA
Rfam family: Bacterial small subunit ribosomal RNA
Source: RNAcentral